This 764-nucleotide ribosomal RNA is filed under the name Dothideomycetes sp. TRN 11. RNAcentral describes it as "SSU rRNA". It matches the Rfam family "Bacterial small subunit ribosomal RNA", at positions 348 to 1162 of the family's 1533-position model. Lineage: Eukaryota; Fungi; Ascomycota; Dothideomycetes. The record is from RNAcentral.
UAUGCAGUGAGGAAUAUUGGUCAAUAGCCUAACGGCUGAACCAGCAACUUGGGGGAAUGUAAGCAUAUGUAGGGCCUAGCCACACAUAUGUGUAUCGACUAUGUCGUCUAAAGUUCUAGAUAGAUCACUGAUAAUGACAAUUUUCUAUCUAUAUGUCUUGACCAAAUCUCGUGCCAGCAGUCGCGGCAAUACGAGGAAGACUAGUGUUAUUCAUCUUUAUUAGGUUUAAAGGGUACCUAGACGGUAUAUCAAGCCCCAAAAGGGUACAGGUAAACUAGAGUUUUAUGUGAGAGGUAUAUAUUAGUACUAUUGGUGUAGGGAUGAAAUUCUUUGAUACUAAUAUGACGGAUAACAGCGAAAGCAAACCUUUAUGUACAAACUGACGUUGAGGGACGAAGGCUUGGGUAGCAAAGAGGAUUAGAUACCCUAGUAGUCCAGGCAGAGAAUUAUGAAUGUUAUACAUUUGCUAAAUGCAGGUGUAUAAAUGAAAGUGUAAGCAUUCCACCUCAAGAGUAAUGCGGCAACGCAGGAACUGAAAUCAUUAGACCGUUUCUGAAACCAGUAGUGAAGUAUGUUAUUUAAUUCGAUAACCCUCGAAAAACCUUACCACAAUUUGAAUGUUAUUUAUUUAAAUAAUACAAGUGUUGCACGGCUGUCUCCAGUUAAUGUCGUGAGAUUUUGGUUAGAUCCAUAAAAUUAACGUAAACCCUUACUUUAUUUGUUUUUUAUAAAGUGGUUCUCCACUAUAUUGGAUGUGAUAACAG